GACGAACGCUGGCGGCGUGCUUAACACAUGCAAGUCGAACGGAAAGGCCCUGCUUUUGUGGGGUGCUCGAGUGGCGAACGGGUGAGUAACACGUGAGUAACCUGCCCUUGACUUUGGGAUAACUUCAGGAAACUGGGGCUAAUACCGGAUAGGAGCUCCUGCUGCAUGGUGGGGGUUGGAAAGUUUCGGCGGUUGGGGAUGGACUCGCGGCUUAUCAGCUUGUUGGUGUGGUAGUGGCUUACCAAGGCUUUGACGGGUAGCCGGCCUGAGAGGGUGACCGGGCACAUUGGGCCUAAGAGAGGGACCAGAAGCCUACGGGAGGCAGCAGGGGGGAGUAUGGCGCAAUGGGGGGAAGCCUGAGGCAGAAACGCCGCGUGCGGGAUGACGGCCUUCGGGUGGUAAACCGAUUUCGCAUGUGAUGAAGCGUGAGUGACGGUAAUGGGUAAAGAAGCACCGGCUAACUACGUG
Molecule: ribosomal RNA, 468 nt
Filed under: uncultured bacterium
Lineage: Bacteria
Description: partial 16S ribosomal RNA
Rfam family: Bacterial small subunit ribosomal RNA
Source: RNAcentral